Molecule: signal recognition particle RNA, 97 nt
Filed under: Saprospiraceae bacterium
Lineage: Bacteria; Pseudomonadati; Bacteroidota; Saprospiria; Saprospirales; Saprospiraceae
Description: signal recognition particle sRNA small type
Rfam family: Bacteroidales small SRP
About the family: The non-coding component of the signal recognition particle in Bacteroides
Source: RNAcentral
CGGUGAGGGUCAUACGGUCAGCUCCUGCUGAAUCCCCCAGGGCAGAAAUGCAGCAAGGGUAGGUGGUUGAGCGACUAGGUGUGAUUCCUCACUUUUU